AUGGGCGGUCGGAGAAAACUACUUGACUGAAAACCUAAAUCUUUGUGGUUUGGACAAAGUUAGGACAAUUGCGCACUGUGUUUUUGUUACCCAGCAGCACACCUCUCUCCUCCGCCCCCUCGCCAUCGUUCCCGGAUGGAGGAGAAAGUCACGCAAACAGGUGGCAGAGUAUCUCUGAAUCGGCGCAUACAAGUCUCUCUAGUUUCGGUAAACUUUGUUUAAACUUUGUCUCGCUCAAACACGAAGGCUUAGUGUAUAUAUCGGGCAAGAUUUCGACACAGACAAGGCAUUAAACACGGAUUUAUGUGCAUAAUUGGAUGCGCCCCCCGAGGCACCAACGAGCAUCGAGGCGAAGUCAGCUAGCUAACGCUAACGCUAGCUAUCUCAAGUACGUCCUCACGGUACUGGCUGUCCUGGGUGAGGUGAUAAUCCCUGUAGACCUGCAGGACAAACUUCAGGUUCAAGUCCUUCCAGUCUGCUGUGUCGUGGAUGAGAGAAGUUGAUGACAUCAUCUUUCUCCUACCUGGGUCUCCUAUGUCGUGAGGCACCACGUUUUUGGCCUUGACUGGAGAAUACCGCCCACUCAUCAGAUGGAGCCUUUCUGUUGGGUCCUGGUUAACCACACUGCCAGCUGAGAGGAGAAUCAAGCUGUAAAACUAGCCCUGGUAGGCAAAACGGCCAUACUCCUUGACGACAGCAGGCUGGGCUGGCAGCCCUCCGUCCUCGCUGCGCACACCACCACUGACAUCAGCGUCCUCUGGUAGCUCUGUCCACACCGUCCCUCCAUCCACCACAAAGUACAACUCAUUAAACAGGGCUGACUUAUACCAGGAAGGGAGAGAACUGCAAUGCACAAGACAACAGUAUAAACAAUAGUUUGAUUGAUAAUAAAGUUGUCAUAAUGUA
This is a long non-coding RNA of Acanthopagrus latus (yellowfin seabream), 906 nucleotides long. RefSeq lists it as uncharacterized. The record is from RefSeq and is a predicted model, not a curated record. NCBI's taxonomy places the organism in Eukaryota, Metazoa, Chordata, Actinopteri, Spariformes, Sparidae. The transcript has 4 exons.